Molecule: ribosomal RNA, 440 nt
Filed under: uncultured bacterium
Lineage: Bacteria
Description: bacterial SSU rRNA
Rfam family: Bacterial small subunit ribosomal RNA
Source: RNAcentral
CCUACGGGAGGCAGCAGCGAGGAAUCUUGCACAAUGGGCGAAAGCCUGAUGCAGCGACGCCGCGUGGGGGAUGAAGGCUCUAGGGUCGUAAACCCCUUUUGCCAGGGAAGAAGAUCUGACGGUACCUGGCGAAUAAGCCACGGCUAACUACGUGCCAGCAGCCGCGGUAAUACGUAGGUGGCAAGCGUUGUCCGGAUUUACUGGGCGUAAAGCGCGUGUAGGUGGUUUGGAAAGUCCGGGGUGAAAUCUUGCGGCUCAACUGCAAGAGGUCCUUGGAUACUUCCAGACUUGAGGGAGGCAGAGGAAGGUGGAAUUCCCGGUGUAGUGGUGAAAUGCGUAGAUAUCGGGAGGAACACCAGUGGCGAAGGCGGCCUUCUGGGCCUUUCCUGACGCUGAGGCGCGAAAGCGUGGGUAGCAAACCGGAUUAGAUACCCUAGUAG